RNAcentral lists this ribosomal RNA (250 nucleotides) under uncultured Staphylococcus sp. RNAcentral's name for it is "partial 16S ribosomal RNA". It matches the Rfam family "Bacterial small subunit ribosomal RNA", at positions 90 to 334 of the family's 1533-position model. The record is from RNAcentral. Lineage: Bacteria; Bacillati; Bacillota; Bacilli; Caryophanales; Staphylococcaceae.
CGUUAGCGGCGGACGGGUGAGUAACACGUGGAUAACCUACCUAUAAGACUGGGAUAACUCCGGGAAACCGGGGCUAAUACCGGAUAACACAUGAAACCGCAUGGUUUCAUGAUGAAAGAUGGUUUUGCUGUCACUUAUAGAUGGACCCGCGGCGUAUUAGCUAGUUGGUAAGGUAACGGCUUACCAAGGCAACGAUGCGUAGCCGACCUUAGAGGGUGAUCGGCCACACUGGAACUGAGACACGGUCCAG